GGUCUGCGAGUUCGCGGGAGAGUAAGUUAUUGCCAGGGUUUUUAUUUUAUACUUUAAACAUUGAUUUUAUUUUUUAUGUUUUUAGAUGUUCAUGUUUUUGAAUGUUUUAUUUAAAUAAUAUAAAAAAUAAAAUAUAUAUUGACAUGGAUUAAACAAAGAUAUAUAUUAUUCUAUGUUGCAUAAACAAAUUGGCAAAAUAGAGAUGAAGA
Molecule: unclassified non-coding RNA, 209 nt
Filed under: Borreliella garinii
Lineage: Bacteria; Pseudomonadati; Spirochaetota; Spirochaetia; Spirochaetales; Borreliaceae
Description: partial 5S-23S ribosomal RNA intergenic spacer
Source: RNAcentral